CGUGUAGGUGGUUAGAUAAGUCAGAUGUGAAAGCUUCCGGCUUAACCGGAAAACUGCAUUUGAAACUGUUUAGCUUGAGUGUGAGAGAGGGUAGCGGAAUUCCCAGUGUAGCGGUGAAAUGCGUAGAUAUUGGGAAGAACACCAGUAGCGAAGGCGGCUACCUGGCUCGCAACUGACGCUAAUGCGCGAAAGCGUGGGGAGCAAACA
RNAcentral lists this ribosomal RNA (207 nucleotides) under uncultured bacterium. Its description in RNAcentral is "partial 16S ribosomal RNA". It matches the Rfam family "Bacterial small subunit ribosomal RNA", at positions 568 to 774 of the family's 1533-position model. The record is from RNAcentral.